Molecule: ribosomal RNA, 301 nt
Filed under: uncultured bacterium
Lineage: Bacteria
Description: partial 16S ribosomal RNA
Rfam family: Bacterial small subunit ribosomal RNA
Source: RNAcentral
CAGUAGCCGCGGGAAUACGUAGGUGGCAAGCGUUGUCCGGAAUUAUUGGGCGUAAAGGGCUCGCAGGCGGUUUCUUAAGUCUGAUGUGAAAGCCCCCGGCUCAACCGGGGAGGGUCAUUGGAAACUGGGAAACUUGAGUGCAGAAGAGGAGAGUGGAGUUCCACGUGUAGCGGUGAAAUGCGUAGAGAUGUGGAGGAACACCAGUGGCGGAGGCGACUCUCUGGUCUGUAACUGACGCUGAGGAGCGAAAGCGUGGGGAGCGAACAGGAUUAGAUACCCCCGUAGUCCCUGUCUCUUAUAC